AGACUGAAUUACUGGAUAAGGAUGUAAAGAGACGUAAAACACCAACAAAACCAAGCAAUGAAAACAGCUGUAAAAGUAGCAAAACUGAGUACAAUUGCUGUUCUGAAUUCAAGAAAAAAGUUCUUAAGAAACAUCAAGGUAAAAAUACUUGCAUGACAAAGUGGCCCAUCAUUAAAAAGAAAGUGUUGAAUGAAGAUUAUUUAGUAAAAGAAUACGAGCCUGAGUUUACAUCUCCACCAACAUCAAAUAGGGCCUUUUUUAGCCUUGCUUGCAAGAAAUUUAUAACCCGAACUUGUGGAAAUCGAAGUCAAGAGAAAGAUCCUCCGAAAUGUGUUCUUGAUGCAAUUUAUGGAAAAUUCCCAUGUCCAAAAAACAAAAACUAAAAACGUUUUUAAUUUUUUUU
Long non-coding RNA from Biomphalaria glabrata, 403 nucleotides. RefSeq lists it as uncharacterized. The transcript has 3 exons. The record is from RefSeq and is a predicted model, not a curated record. Lineage: Eukaryota; Metazoa; Mollusca; Gastropoda; Planorbidae.